UGUAAGAUCAUUCCAUUCCAAUCAAAGCAAGGCAAUCAGCCUGAAGCAGUACUCCUCUUGGUGUGUGUGUAUGUGUCUUGUGUUGCACUAGUGAGUGCGUGUGUUACUAGUGAGUUGAGUGCAAGUACUACCGUUAGAUAGUCAGGACCCUCUGGUCUCAGUAGUUCCGGGCUAACAACGCGCCGGUGCCCAGGCGCCUUGCAUCCAUCUACAGCGAGGUGCAGACGAGCCGCAUCGCGCACACGCUGCCCCUCCCCUCCGUCCUCCGCUCCCACUUCACGCUCGCCGACGAGCCGGCCAGCACCGCCGCUAGAAGCCCCGACGAGAUAGCCAAGCUGUUCUCCAGCCUGCACGGCCGCUGUCCACGGCCGUGCUGCCGUCGGCCGAGCCCGUCGCGACGAAGCCGCUCAAGAUCGGCAUCGUGCUUCCUGGUGGCCAGGUUCCAGGGGGACAAUGAAUCGACUUCUUUGUGUAACAGAUUACCUGCAGGAGGGUGCCAAAGGCAGCACCAUGUAUGGAUUAAGGGAGGCCCGCUGGUGUCAUGAAGGGCAACUACGUCGAGCUGACUGCUGAUUUCGUGUACCCCUACGGAAACCAGGUAUGUCAGCAUAACCUUUACUAAGCACGCCUACUGAUAUUUCAAUGUUUCAUAUAAACUUUGGUUAUAACCAUUUGCAAAACUGGAAGUGGCUCAUCAGUAGAGAUUUCGUUGAGGUACUUCCAUGAAUUAACAGAUGAUUUUUUUUCUCUUGAAGUAUCCUUGUGUGUAAGAAAUUUCUGAUCAUAAGCAUGACAAAUAUAUGAUGGAUACAUACAGUUUUAUGGGUAACCUGAAUUACUAUUUCAUGCCCUGGACUGACAUUACAUGAAUGAUCAUGUAGUACAAUGAGAACUGGUAAAUUCAAGGACUUUGGUUAUAACCAUUUGCAAAACUGGAAGUGGCUCAUCAGUAGAGAUUCUGUUGAGUCGUCAGAGAUUCAGAAUUCUUGCUGUAUCAUGGGUGCACUAUCAGAGAUGGUGAAUGCUUUAGACGCUCUAAACUUUUUUUCCCCGGGGGAGGGGGCCUGAGAGGUAUAAAAUUCCAUCAGUGUGCUUUUUAAUUCAACCUGCACAAAAAUAUGGACCUCUUAUCUAGUAAAUAAACCUGUAAAAUUAUACAGUGCGGAGAGGUUCUGCAAGUUCCCUCAGUGAAGCCUUAUGUCCAAGAAUAAAUUACCUACGUUUGAGUGCGAGUAAUGUACAACAGUUUGUAAUUUUUCAUUUGUAUUUUUUCCUCGAACAAGAAUUGGUGGUUGGUAUUCAGUUAUUUUUUAUAUGCCGACAAUGUUUUUUCUGCAUAUCGAUUAACUGUCCGUUUACAUAAAGAAAGAAGUUUGUGAUUCUC
Long non-coding RNA from Triticum aestivum (bread wheat), 1384 nucleotides. RefSeq lists it as uncharacterized. The transcript is spliced from 4 exons. The record is from RefSeq and is a predicted model, not a curated record. Lineage: Eukaryota; Viridiplantae; Streptophyta; Magnoliopsida; Poales; Poaceae.